GAUGAACGCUGACAGAAUGCUUAACACAUGCAAGUCAUUGGCGAAGCUGCGCUUGCGCAGUCUAGCCAAGGCGGACGGGUGAGUAACGCGUAAGGAACUUGCCCUGCAGACAGGGAUAACAGACGGAAACGACUGAUAACACCUGGUAUUGUCAGGCUGGCGCAUGCCGGCCUGAUGAAAGGAGACACUGCAGGAGAGCCUUGCGUCCUAUUAGCUAGUUGGUGGGGUAACGGCCCACCAAGGCGAUGAUAGGUAGCCGGCCUGAGGGGGUGAACGGCCACAAGGGGACUGAGAUACGGCCCUUACUCCUACGGGAGGCAGCAGUGGGGAAUAUUGGACAAUGGGGGCAACCCUGAUCCAGCAAUUCUGUGUGCACGAAGAAGGUUUUCGGAUUGUAAAGUGCUUUCAGCAGGGAAGAAGAAAGUGACGGUACCUGCAGAAGAAGCGACGGCUAAAUACGUG
This 462-nucleotide ribosomal RNA is filed under the name uncultured bacterium. RNAcentral's name for it is "partial 16S ribosomal RNA". It matches the Rfam family "Bacterial small subunit ribosomal RNA", at positions 28 to 507 of the family's 1533-position model. The record is from RNAcentral.